UCGCACCUACCGAUUGAAUGGUCCGGUGAAGGCUCGGAAUUGUUUUCUCAUUCUUUCAUUGGGAUGUGUUUACGAGAACUUGCCUAAACCUUAUCAUUUAGAGGAAGGUG
This 110-nucleotide ribosomal RNA is filed under the name uncultured eukaryote. RNAcentral's name for it is "partial small subunit ribosomal RNA". It matches the Rfam family "Eukaryotic small subunit ribosomal RNA", at positions 1676 to 1785 of the family's 1831-position model. The record is from RNAcentral.